GGGGGGGGGGGGUUCUGAUUUAAAUUAAUGUAGCCUGUACCGCUGUCGUAAGUUUGACUUCCGCUUAAAUAUGUUACAAAAAAGGAAUGCUCGGUUUGUAUGUGAUCAGGAUUAUCCUUAUAUAUAACCUGCAAAAACGAAUCCUUGUGUCUAUUGAUAACAAAACUCUUCCCAUGAAAAGGGGAGCUAUUUCUUCCCUUGUCUUAAUCCACAUUCAUGUGUAUUUGGACUAGUUAAUGCUUCUAGCUUCGAUAUACUAAUUUUUUAUACAAAAAACUAUUUAAAGUUACUUUAUUUUUAUUGUUUUUUUUUUAUUUCAAGAAAUGGCAUACUGUCAGAUCCCCUUUAAUGUUCGGGUUUGGUUUAAGAUAGAUUUCAUCCAUUUAUUUGGUACAUG
Molecule: long non-coding RNA, 397 nt
Filed under: Mytilus galloprovincialis (Mediterranean mussel)
Lineage: Eukaryota; Metazoa; Mollusca; Bivalvia; Mytilida; Mytilidae
Source: RNAcentral